Molecule: long non-coding RNA, 756 nt
Organism: Brienomyrus brachyistius
Lineage: Eukaryota; Metazoa; Chordata; Actinopteri; Osteoglossiformes; Mormyridae
Exons: 4
Source: RefSeq, a predicted model, not a curated record
UCUGCCGAGAAGGAUCCAGCUGCAGACAAAAAAAAAAUGUAUUUUUGCUCGUUUUGCUGCAAAGUCUUAUUAACCAUCUGACAGUUACGUGUAUUUAGUUAGAAGCCGUAGGCGCAGUAAUCCUUACACUUCGUAUUGUGUUUUCUGAUAUUACAGUUGCCAUUACAUUAAAAGGAACAUUGUUUUAUAAACCAAAUUGUAAACAUGGAUCCCCGUUUAAAAGCGGCUUUGCUUUUUCAAGACAAAAUUAUACGGCGGUGCACACUACCAUGCCGGGACAAGGUACAUUGUCACCCGGACUUGGCUUCCUCCCUACAACUGUGAGCCACUUCAAUCCCUUCCUGAAGUUUGCAGAGAAUAUCAGUCCAGGGGAGUGGUCUGAAAUGAAUGGCUUUGAGUUGGAGGGGUUUCCAAGCCAAGACUUUGAGGUUGACUGUGGCAUCUACAUGUUGAUGGUAAGAUUCGUCAUUCAGAUAUUUUUGGACUGUCAAGAUGCUUUUGAGAAUAAGUCAUGAACAUUGACAUUUAUUUUUUAAUUGACAGUCUGCUUUAUAUGUGGUGCUGGAUGCUCCCUUUUAUUACACCAUAGUAAGUAGCUCUUUUUAGAGAGCAAUAAAGUAUGUGUGCAAAGAAGUCACUAAAUGACACUAAAUGCACUAAAUUGAUUUUUAAUAGUUAGACAUGCCGAAAUUGCGGAAAUGGUGGUGUAAGGACAUAAAACUUAUAGGUCCUGCAGGCCCCAACUCUGAUCAGCCU